This 85-nucleotide transfer RNA is filed under the name Corynebacterium mendelii. RNAcentral describes it as "tRNA-Leu". It matches the Rfam family "tRNA". Rfam says of the family: Transfer RNA (tRNA) molecules are approximately 80 nucleotides in length. Their secondary structure includes four short double-helical elements and three loops (D, anti-codon, and T loops). The record is from RNAcentral. Lineage: Bacteria; Bacillati; Actinomycetota; Actinomycetes; Mycobacteriales; Corynebacteriaceae.
GCGCCCGUGGCGGAAUUGGUAGACGCGCUGGAUUUAGGUUCCAGUGCCUUCAGGCGUGGGAGUUCAAGUCUCCCCGGGCGCACCA